Sorex fumeus (smoky shrew) is the source of this 194-nucleotide small nuclear RNA. RefSeq annotates it as U2 spliceosomal RNA. The record is from RefSeq and is a predicted model, not a curated record. The transcript has a single exon. Lineage: Eukaryota; Metazoa; Chordata; Mammalia; Eulipotyphla; Soricidae.
UUCACUUCUCAGCCUUUUGGCUAAGAUCAAGUGUAGCUUCAAUGCUUAAACAUAACUUAAGAAAAAUGUCCUCUUUUUGUGUAAUACAUAAAUUUUAUUAUUUUGAGGUUUUUAUUAUACCCUUAACAGUUUUUUUUUUCCUCAGCUGGUAAAGACAAGGAGGACAUCUGGACAAGUGCCCAAGCUGACUUUCU